Molecule: small RNA, 316 nt
Filed under: uncultured bacterium
Lineage: Bacteria
Description: bacterial SSU rRNA
Rfam family: Bacterial small subunit ribosomal RNA
Source: RNAcentral
UAAGAGAAAAAGUCGAGCGGAUGGAACGGAGCUUGCUCCGGGAAGUUAUUGCCGGACGGGUGAGUAACACGUGGGCAAUCUGCCUGACAGACUGGGAUAACGCUUGGAAACGAGUGCUAAUACCAGAUAGUCUUCGAGGUCACAUGACCUUGAAGGGAAAGAAGCGAUCGCUUCACUGUUAGAUGAGCCCGCGGCGCAUUAGCUAGUUGGUGAGGUAACGGCUCACCAAGGCGACGAUGCGUAGCCGACCUGAGAGGGUGACCGGCCACACUGGGACUGAGACACGGCCCAGACUCCUACGGGAGGCAGCAGUGGG